GUGUAUGGCGGAGAGGCGUGUACACGUGAGGUACUUGGCAUAGAGAAGAGGUACAUUUUUGCCACUUAAAAUUAUCAAAUGGCUUUGUCACUGUGGUGGUACCCUAAAAAGGCACAUUUGUACCUUUUGGCUCUUUUGAGGUAUGUACUGCAAGGGUACAAUUAUGUACUUGUAACUAAUGGUACAAUGGAUGUACCUUACAGGGUAGCACUACAUUGACAAUCAUUUGUACUCCUUUAAGUACAAUGCAGUACCUUUUUUUUCUGAGAGUGUAGUUGUGACUGCUACGAUGAUAGGUUUUCAGGAACAUCUUUUGAUGAUUCCAGUUCCUGUACAACCGGUUCUUUCUUUGAACACAGCAUUGACAGAUCUCUUGCAUGACAGCUGCAGGCAAUCCAUGAUCUGUGUACUGUCCUGCUGUGCAACAUAAGGAUUUGAUCCACAACUGCGAGAGUUACCUCACAUUCAAGGAUACUGGACGUAUUGGAGCAAAAGCUGAUAUCUGCCAACUGAAGUAACAAAGACAAGGAGGUGUCUCAACAUGAGAAGCACUCUGUGGAUGG
Oncorhynchus nerka (sockeye salmon) is the source of this 563-nucleotide long non-coding RNA. RefSeq lists it as uncharacterized. NCBI's taxonomy places the organism in Eukaryota, Metazoa, Chordata, Actinopteri, Salmoniformes, Salmonidae. The record is from RefSeq and is a predicted model, not a curated record. The transcript is spliced from 3 exons.